UAAGGAAUAUUGCUCAAUGGGAGAAAUCCUGAGGCAGCAACGCCGCGUGGAGGAUGAAGGGUCUAUGACUUGUAAACUCCUGUAAAGAAGGAAAAAAUUCCCAUUUGAUGGGAGAUGAUGGUACUUCUGGAGUAAGCCCCGGCUAACUACGUGCCAGCAGCCGCGGUAAUACGUAGGGGGCAAGCGUUGUCCGGAUUUACUGGGUGUAAAGGGUGCUCAGGCGGAUUUGUAAGUCAGAGGUGAAAUCUUACAGCUUAACUGUGAAACUGCCUUUGAUACUGCAAGCCUAGAGUAUGGAAGAGAGAGAUGGAAUAUCUGGUGUAGCAGUGAAAUGCGUAGAUAUCAGAUAGAACACCAAUGGCGAAGGCAGUCACUUGGUCCAUUACUGACGCUAAAGCACGAAAGCGUGGGUAGCAAACA
RNAcentral lists this ribosomal RNA (420 nucleotides) under uncultured bacterium. Its description in RNAcentral is "bacterial SSU rRNA". It matches the Rfam family "Bacterial small subunit ribosomal RNA", at positions 355 to 774 of the family's 1533-position model. The record is from RNAcentral.